RNAcentral lists this long non-coding RNA (656 nucleotides) under Gallus gallus (chicken). RNAcentral describes it as "long non-coding RNA NONGGAT003781". The record is from RNAcentral. Lineage: Eukaryota; Metazoa; Chordata; Aves; Galliformes; Phasianidae.
UGUGCAAACGCUGACUAUUUUCAGAGAUACUUCUCAACAAAUACUAGACAGUAAAUAGUAAUUCUUUUCAAAGUGAAAGUUUGGAUAGUAGCGUAGCCCAUGAACAAAUCCAUAUGCUUUUGUGUGUUAUACUGUGUUGCUCUGGCAGAUAUUUGUUCACCUACAGGAAGGGAAUGGCAAUGUGGUGAUGUGUCCUCUGCUCCAGCUGGAGAGUUGUGUGUUUUCACCAACCAGCGUGGAAGCAGCAGUGAUGAGAGACAAGGUUCCUCUGAAAAAUGUGAUUUUGAAACUGACCUCUGCAAACCUCUUCAUGAAGUGAGUUUACAUUCUGGAUGGAUUAGAAGAAAUGGCAACUCUGGUGUGGGACCACCAUAUUCUGACCACAAUGGGAACGACACUGCUUAUUUCCUUUCGUUAUCCUCUGAAAUGAGAUCGUCUUCUGCAAAGUUAAGGUCCAAUGUUUUGCUUCCAACUGAUGAAGAACACGUUUGCCAGAUUACAUUUCAGUAUUGGAUCAGUCAGAGUGGAGUAUUGAUGGUGGGGCUUCAAAAGCACUCUGAAGAUGCUAUUAAAAAUAUCUGGAAUGAUUCAGGAGAACUGCAAAACCAGUGGAAAGCAAGAACCAUCACAGUCAAUAGCACUGAAAAUUUUGAGGU